ACGCACGCUGGCGGCGUGCUUAACACAUGCAAGUCGAACGGAAAGGCCCUGCUUUUGUGGGGUGCUCGAGUGGCGAACGGGUGAGUAACACGUGAGUAACCUGCCCUUGACUUUGGGAUAACUUCAGGAAACUGGGGCUAAUACCGGAUAGGAGCUCCUGCUGCAUGGUGGGGGUUGGAAAGUUUCGGCGGUUGGGGAUGGACUCGCGGCUUAUCAGUUGGUGGGGUAGUGGCUUACCAAGGCUUUGACGGGUAGCCGGCCUGAGAGGGUGACCGGCCACAUUGGGACUGAGAUACGGCCCAGACUCCUACGGGAGGCAGCAGUGGGGAAUAUUGUACAAUGGGCGGAAGCCUGAUGCAGCAACGCCGCGUGCGGGAUGACGGCCUUCGGGUUGUAAACCGCUUUCGCCUGUGACGAAGCGUGAGUGACGGUAAUGGGUAAAGAAGCACCGGCUAACUACGUG
Molecule: ribosomal RNA, 463 nt
Filed under: uncultured bacterium
Lineage: Bacteria
Description: partial 16S ribosomal RNA
Rfam family: Bacterial small subunit ribosomal RNA
Source: RNAcentral